GAUGAAGAACUUAGCGAAAUGCGAUACUUGGUGUGAAUUGCAGAAUCCCGUGAACCAUCGAGUCUUUGAACGCAAGUUGCGCCCGAAGCCUCGGCUAAGGGCACGUCUGCCUGGGCGUCACGCAUCGCGUCUCCCCCAAACCGCCAAGGCGGAGGGGAAGGAAGAUGGCUUCCCGUGCCUCACCCGGCGCGGUUGGCCUAAAUUUGGAGCCCGCGGCACUUAGCUCUCGCGGCGAUAGGUGGUGAACAAGGCCUUGGCCGUGCAAACAACCCGCUGCGAAGCUCUAUGUCACGUGCGCUCGUCGGACCCUUUGAAGUUGCCUUCGGUGACUUAAAACCUUUGCGACCCCAGGUCAGGCGGGGCUACCCGCUGAAUUUAAGCAUAUCAAUAAGCGGAGGA
RNAcentral lists this unclassified non-coding RNA (399 nucleotides) under soil metagenome. RNAcentral describes it as "partial contains 5.8S ribosomal RNA, internal transcribed spacer 2, and large subunit ribosomal RNA". The stretch from base 1 to 120 matches the Rfam family "5.8S ribosomal RNA", at positions 35 to 154 of the family's 154-position model. The record is from RNAcentral.